GCCACCCUCUUUUGUGCCGGCACACAGCAUGUUGGGUGUGAUCUUCCCUGGGUAGACUUGGCGACACUCUUCAUCUGAGCGUAGCUGGAUGUUGGCACAUUUUUUCCCAGCCACUGACCCCUCAGACCAUCUGUGAGGGCGCAUACCCUGGGGGCUGGUGGUGGUGCCCCAGCCAGACACCCGACAGCAGGUGCCAGCAGGGAGACAGUUGUUGUGGGAGAGGGGCAGGACACGGAUGUGGUUCGUGGGCUGGACCGGGGACUGCAGCUCCAGAAGCAUGAUGUCAUGGUCGUGGUUCAGGAGUUGCCAUCUUCCAUGUAAUGGAGAUGAGUCAAGGCAAAGAGGUGAUGAUGUCCUUUUCCGUAUAAGUGCUAAUUCCACUGGGGGUUCACAGAGUUCAUAGAACAAGGCUCUGGGUAUUAAGAGCAGGAACUGUGUCUGUUGUACAGCACCCAGCACAAUGCCCCAUGCUCAACAGCUGUCAGUUAAAUGGAUGGUUGGAUGGACCUACGGACAUAAGGGUGGAUGGAUGAUGAUGCCUGGAUGGGGUUUCCAGAGAAGUUGGCUGCAAAAAGGCGCUUAAACGUGAAAAGGAAUCUUUGGGACUGACUCACGGUGGAACCAGGUUUGGGGUCACCCCAAGGAUUGAAGGAAGAACAAACUAAAAUGUUCUGGAAGGCGCUGAGAAUGAA
Long non-coding RNA from Canis lupus familiaris (dog), 692 nucleotides. RefSeq lists it as uncharacterized. The record is from RefSeq and is a predicted model, not a curated record. Lineage: Eukaryota; Metazoa; Chordata; Mammalia; Carnivora; Canidae. The transcript has 4 exons.